GAUGAACGCUGGCGGCGUGCCUAAUACAUGCAAGUCGAGCGAACGGACGAGAAGCUUGCUUCACGGAUGUUAGCGGCGGACGUGUGAGUAACACGUGGAUAACCUACCUAUAAGACUGGGAUAACUUCGGGAAACCGGAGCUAAUACCGGAUAAUAUUUUGAACCGCAUGGUUCAAAAGUGAAAGACGGUCUGGCUGUCACUUAUAGAUGGAGCCGCGCUGCAUUAGCUAGUUGGUAAGGUAACGGCUUACCAAGGCAACGAAGCAUAGCCGACCUGAGAGGGUGAUCGGCCACACUGGAACUGAGACACGGUCCAGACUCCUACGGGAGGCAGCAGUAGGGAAUUUUCAGCAAUGGGCGAAAGCCUGACGGAGCAACGCCGCGUGAGUGAUGAAGGUCUUCGGAUCGUAAAACUCUGUUAUUAGGGAAGAACAUAUGUGUAAGUAAAUGUGCAGAUCUUGACGGUACCUAAUCAGAAAGCAACGGCUAACUACGUG
This 497-nucleotide ribosomal RNA is filed under the name uncultured bacterium. Its description in RNAcentral is "partial 16S ribosomal RNA". It matches the Rfam family "Bacterial small subunit ribosomal RNA", at positions 28 to 507 of the family's 1533-position model. The record is from RNAcentral.